CAAUUACUCUUAGCUAAUUAACUUAAGAAACAGAAAAAGUUAAGGAUUCUGGUAGUUGUUGUCAAAUGACACCAUUGUGCAAAUUGCCUAUUACUAAACUUACUUCUUUUCUCACAGAUGUAUUGAACUGGACUAUCCUUUAUUGGCAGAAUAUGAUUUUAAAAAUGAUACAGUGAAUCCAGAUCUGAACAUGGACUUGAAGCCAACUACAGUUCUAAGGCCGUACCAGGAAAAGAGCCUUCGGAAAAUGUUUGGUAACGGCAGAGCCAGAUCCGGUGUUAUUGUAUUACCAUGUGGAGCCGGUAAGACCCUUGUGGGUGUGACAGCAGCUUGUACUGUAAGGAAGCGAUGCCUUGUUCUGUGUACUUCAGGUGUCGCAGUUGAACAGUGGAGAACACAG
Molecule: long non-coding RNA, 400 nt
Organism: Orbicella faveolata
Lineage: Eukaryota; Metazoa; Cnidaria; Anthozoa; Scleractinia; Merulinidae
Source: RefSeq, a predicted model, not a curated record